RNA transcript from Drosophila pseudoobscura, 1585 nucleotides. RefSeq lists it as uncharacterized. NCBI's taxonomy places the organism in Eukaryota, Metazoa, Arthropoda, Insecta, Diptera, Drosophilidae. The transcript is spliced from 7 exons. The record is from RefSeq and is a predicted model, not a curated record.
AUUAAUGUAUUUUAUACCUUUAAAAUAGAAGAGGUAUUCUUUUGCGUCUCCUCAACGGUCAUACUGAAAAAAGAGUAAAAAUCGUACGUUUUGCUAUUUUUAUGAAAAUAUAUACCUAAAUCGCUUAAGUUAAUGAGAGUCACAUGUGCUUUGACUACUUUGAGUAAUAAAUUUUAAAAAAUUACGAUAUAAAGGUACAAAUUUUAGCAUUCAAAUUCAAAUUAAACACAACCUCAAAAAUUUAAAUGGCGUGGCUUUUACAAUAAUGUACAUACAUAUAUUUGUAUUAUGUAUAAAAAUCGCCCUUACCCCACAUAACAGAAAUAAUAUUCUCUUUUGAAUAAAUACAUAUGCAUGUAUGUACAUUUAUUAAUGCAUCUGACUAAAUUUACUAAUACGUAAAUAUAUUUUAUUUCUUUAUUUAAUUCAUUGUCUUUCGAAAUUUGCACAUCCAAAAAGAAAUAAAUAUUUUGAGGUACAAGCGUGUCCAGGGUUACUAUUUCAAAUGCUUAAUCACUGAAAUACUACCACACAUAAAAUUGUUCACAAUCAUUGCAUAUAUGCACUGAAUGUUACUUUAAAUAGGUGCGAUUGGCUUGCUCUUGAUUUGCACUUAUAAAUACCAAGUCAUCCUGCAAGUGACUUCAUAAAGGGAAACCGAGCUCAAUUACUUACGUGUUUUAAUCGUGAGCUGGCAUUCCACACCCCAAGGAGAGGAAAGACAAUAUCUUAUAUGACUUUUGAACGAUUAAGUGAUCAUUAAGAAUAAGACCGUGACCAAAUCUAAAUUUUCUGUGAAAGCGAAGGUACAAAAAGCGCUUUCAAGUAAAAGUAGACCAAGUGCAGCCACGGGAUCAAAUUUGAUGUGGUAUAACUUUUGGUUGAAUUUCGGUUCAAAAUUGCUUCCCAUUACACGAGAGCGUUUGCAGUUUAAGAAGGGCGGUAUUGAAAAGGAAGAAAAAGAACUGCAAGCCUUAUAAUUUGUAUAGUCUUUGUGUCCAUUUUUAUUCAAUGAACAACCUGCGAAAAAAAGCGCACCUCCAAUUCCACAAAAGCGAAGUAAAAGCUUUCAGCUGUGUAUGAAAAACCAGAGGCGAACUAUUAGUCACCGAAUGCAGAUAUGUAUGUGCAUACGUGAGCUGUUCAAUAAGUCCAUGAACUUUUGGAUGAUUUUGGUUUUUGGAUAAGCAAUCAUUUUAUUUUUCAACGUAGUCCUAUACAUAUGUCCACCGAUUCUACAAUCUUUAUAUCCCUUCCAAAAAUAUGAUUUGUCGAGGUCCUCAAAAUGGGAAUUUGUUUGUUUGGAAACAAGAAAAAGUCACUCGGGGCUAAAUCCGGAGAUAGGAGAUAUCCGGAAAAUCGCACUGAAAACCCCAGUCUUUGACUGCUGUUUGGUCUUUGGUGUGUGGUGGUGGAUCCACGUUUUACCCGUGGUUACGAAACGGCACAAAAAGUCGUCCUAAUUGUGGUUAAACAACGCAAAACACUCCCGCGAAGUUGUCACACGGUUGCGUUUGUGGCCGACCCAAGUGUUUAUUCAAAAUUAAAACCGUUAAGCCCAAUGAUAUGACUACGGCUUCCACAA